UGUGCCUGACCCACUUUACAGUCGGCUUUGCUCAUGCUCUGCCACCGCCUUUGUCCUCAGGGAAGUGGGACGCUGCCUGGCACUGCCCUGGGUGUGGGCAAGAUGUGUUGGCUCUCAGAGGCUGCUCCGGCUUCUCCUUUUCCAAUAUAAAUUCUGUGUUCAUGAGGUUUAUCCACUGUUAGCUCAGUCAUCUCAGCACUUCCCUGCACUGUCACUUUUCCACGGCUUUCUCUUUUCAAAAUGUUUUGACUUAGCCUGACUUGUGAAAUGCACUACAUUUAUUCCCAUGGACUUUGAAACCUUAAAGCCUCUGCUUUUUAUUGUCUGCAGCAUCAGUACCAGCCCGGAAUCUGCCUUUUGGACUUUGAACAGCUGCAAGGCUUCAUAACAGCACUGUGCAGCCACAGAACUGGGGCUGUGGGCAGCUUUGGAUAUCUCUGGUACCCACUGCUCCAGCAGAGCCAUCGGAGCUGCUGCCUGGCACUGUGUCCUGCUGCGUUUGGAGGUCUUCAUGGGGACCCCAGCACCUGUCCGGGUACCUGUGUCCAUACUUCAUCACCCACACAGCAAAGAAAAACCCUGUAAAGCCAACUCAGUUUACUUAAGUAUCAGAGUAGGUGCUCAAAGGUCUUCACAAAUAGCUGCUUGAAGCUGUUCUGAAGGCCAGUUACAGUAAGUCACUCUUGUUCUGUUCUCGCUCUGGCAGCCACGCGUUCCUUACAAGCCAGCAGGUGCAGCACAGCCCCACUGCUGGGCCAUGGGGUGGAAUUAGGCACCCUUCUGCCAACCAUGCUGGAAGUGGGGAGCUGCCACUCAGCAGCAUCUCCCUCCCUAUGCACAAACAGGGACUACAGGAUUGGAGCAGUCCAAAUUAUUUCUGUGGAUGCUACGGCAAAAAUGGUACAAAACCCAGUAUGUAUAAGUACAUGGAGGUAGACUGCAGAUGAGGUUAGGAAAAGCAUGUGGCAAAUAUGCUUGAGGUAGGUUUGCUUCCCUUUUGAAUAUCUUUUUUAUGCUGUCUCAAAUCCUCAUAGUUAGGCAAGGAGAGCACACAAAAGUCAUUUGAGGGAGAAACAAGCUGAUAAAGAAAUAAAAAAAAAUCAGCUGAUAUUGCCUGAGACAAUUUGAUUGAGUUUUAUCAGCCUACUGCUGUUACAUCAUCUAAACUGCAGACUGCCUCCCUCAGUACCUACCCACUCCCCUGCCUUCCUGGGGCACAACUCGCACAGAAAGCAACAUCCUAAGGAUGCUUCUGUUGCACAGGUUUUGAUGAAGCAGAGACACAAUUUUUCUGGAAUUCAGUGGAGACAAGAAUUUUCUUUCUUUUCUGCUGCAUUGUUGCAAGAUUGCUUUAAAUAACAUUGGCACAAGCACAAGGAGCUCAGCAGUAUUUUUCCAGCAUCUGUAUCAGACAAAAAAAAAAGCUUGCUUGCUCUCAAAAAUGUUCCCUACCUUCUGCAUUCCUUGAAGGAAAAAAAGACCACUUUUGUGAGUCUGACUGCCUGUGCAUACAGACCAGCUUCUUGUCCAGGCUCAGUGGUCACACCGUGCUACCCAGCAGUGAUACCAGUGCAGUCCUUGCAGGCUCACCUUCCCUUUGGUCAGCAAAUGCAGACCAAGUCCUGUGAUGAUUCCCAACCUGUGAUUGGAGGAGCCAAGCUGAGGUCUUUCAAGCCUGGUUCUCUCUAGGCUUUGAUAAUCCCAUGUAACACUUGUAUUAAAAAAAAAAAAAACUCAUCUUUUUACAUCAUGUUAUCUCCAUAAUCUCUAAAUCACAACCAGCACUAACAAAGAGCAUUUCUCUGUCUAUGAAAGAGGAGUGUGAAGUGGUUAGGGUUCUUUUUUGAGGGGGGGGGGAGGGGAGUGGGAAGAGGGCAUAGAUAAGAGAAUAUGUUUACUUUUAGCUAAACAGCCAAGAGGAAUAGCUGAAAACAUAGUCCAAGGUUCUGGACUAAUCCCGUGCUGUGUCCAGGAGGCUGCUCUCUGUUGCUAAUGCCAUGUUCAGUGUCAGAACUCCCUUCCCCCUAUGGCUGCGCAGCUGCUCAGCUGGCUUCUGCCCACAGCCCAGUGAUGCUGCAAGAAUGUAGGUCAGAGCUCUUCUGGAUCUGAUAAGUGUUAAAUUAAGCUUACGUUGAUCUUAGUUGCUCCAAUCAUUUCAUGUAUUUGCUAUAGUGUUAAGCUUCCCCCUUCUUCUGAAUUCUCAGUGGUAAAAGGUCCCUAAUUGUAAUUUAUCUGUGACUGAUACCCAGUACAAUUACCUUUACAACUCAGGAUGGUGAUGCUUAGGUUUAGGAUUAUUUGCAUGGGAACCAUUACCUGUGCAUGUAACAAUUGAGAUUGGUCUCUACCUCUUUUUUUUUUAAAUCUUGUUCUUUGCUUUGCAGCUUUAGUGAAGGAUGAGUCUUCUGUGUUGCUAAUACUGACUGACUUGCAGGACUCUGACUAUCACCAGCAGAGGCUUUUUCAUGACAAAGACAGCAAAAAACAUUCCGACUAGCUUGGAGAGAUUCCCUACACGAUAUGUAGGGCACAGUGGGAGGUGGCCUUCAUGUGAUUACAGCCUAUCUGUGACAGUUGUCUGCCACUUCUUACAGCUUGGUGUUUUUGUUGCUUUAACUUUCCCAGACUUCUAAUUCAACAGAUACGUUCAAAGUCCACUGCAAACUCAGUCUUCUCUGUGGCACCUUCAGUGAGUUCUAUCAAGUGUAACGCUUAAUCCCUUUGAAUUAUAUACCAAUCAUGUUUAGGCAUAGAACUUUGCCUUCUGCCUGGUUCUAGAUGUUAUUGAUUUGCACUGUGUGGAGAGCAAACCCUUCCACUGACUUUGAUUUGCAGGCUGAGGUUAUUUGUGCUUACUGAUCAGGAACCUUGAUUUGGGCAGCAUUAGGAAAAAGUACUUAGGACUUGCAGAUGUCUUCUGUAGGCUGCUUUCAGUCACCAUCUGAUCCUCUAAAUCAAGGGGUAUUAACUAUUUUAAAAAGCUCAUUUAAAGAAAAUAAAGGCAGUGUUGUUUCUUUUAAUGUGGUGAAAGUCAUCCUUUACAGUGAAGCUAUGAGAUGAACGGAUUUUAGAGGAAAGAGGUAAAUAUGCUGAGGCAUAUUUGGGGUAUGUAUGUGUGUAAAGCCCCUGCAUACAUAAAUCUCUAUUGUAUAGACAGGAUAAUUAGGUCCUAACGAAUUGCAGACAACAGCUCACCCAGUUACCACCAGCGGGAUCCCUGAGGAACACGUCAGUGGUGAUGUGCUGUGUGUAAGCAGCACCUGCCACCUUCAGCUGUGCACUCACCUGCUGUGAAGGGCUCCGUGGAGCUGUGUGUCCCACGCACAGCAGCUGAGACUGGAAGGUGCAGCUGAAGAUAAUUUGAGCAAGGUUAACUCCUCUCUACAUCAGUUUCUGAGGCUCGAAUGGGCUGCUCGGUCACCUUCAAGCACUGAUGAGCUGCUCAGCACCCCAACGCUGAGCAAUGGGGUUCUUAAGGCAGGCGUCCACCUCCGCCAGUGCUGUGGAGUUUUUAGAGAAGGCCAUUUAGGGCACAGGACCGAUGCGGCAGGGCCUCACGCUCACCCGGGCUGUGUGGCUGACAGCACGCAGGGCGCAGCCCAUCUCCGCCCCCCAGCAGCAUUCCCUGCGGCCUUCGCUCUCCCUGCCCCAGCCCGGCCUGCUCCCGGCUGCCUGCUAAGCGCCUCGAGGCCUGCUGUCUCAUUGCUGUCGCUCGGGUGAAGGCACGAAACUAAGGAAUACCUGAGGAGAGGGGAAGCAGUGACCCCAGCAGUCAGUGCUCUGCAGGGCGCCGCUACCCGCUUAUCGGGGUGUGGAGACGCGCACUAAAAACAACAGUAGCGAUUUUGAGAGAAGCAACUGCCACCACCGCGGGCUGCCGAUGGAUAAAUAACUGCUCGAAAGUCACGCACACGACGUCCUGACCACAUCUCACGGUGACCGCAGCCCAACGCGACCUACGAGCCCCCCGCGAGGCUCCGGGCCCGGCGCUGCCCCCAGGCGCUCAGG
This is a long non-coding RNA of Gallus gallus (chicken), 4008 nucleotides long. Lineage: Eukaryota; Metazoa; Chordata; Aves; Galliformes; Phasianidae. The record is from Ensembl.